This 500-nucleotide ribosomal RNA is filed under the name uncultured bacterium. RNAcentral's name for it is "partial 16S ribosomal RNA". It matches the Rfam family "Bacterial small subunit ribosomal RNA", at positions 30 to 523 of the family's 1533-position model. The record is from RNAcentral.
AUUGAACGCUGGCGGAAUGCUUUACACAUGCAAGUCGAACGGCAGCACGGACUUCGGUCUGGUGGCGAGUGGCGGACGGGUGAGUAAUGUAUCGGAACGUGCCCAGUCGUGGGGGAUAACGUAGUGAAAAUUACGCUAAUACCGCAUACGAUCUAUGGAUGACAGCGGGGGAUCGCAAGACCUCGCGCGAUUGGAGCGGCCGAUAUCAGAUUAGGUAGUUGGUGGGGUAAAGGCCCACCAAGCACACGAGCUGUAGCUGGUCUGACAGGACGACCAGCACGACUGGAACUUGGACACGGUCCAGACUCCUACGGGAGGGAGCAGUGGGGAAUUUUGGACAAUGGGCGAAAGCCUGAUCCAGCCAUUCCGCGUGCAGGAUGAAGGCCCUCGGGUUGUAAACUGCUUUUGUACAGAACGAAAAGGUUUCUACUAAUACUAGGAGCUCAUGACGGUACUGUAAGAAUAAGCACCGGCUAACUACGUGCCAGCAGCCGCAGUAA